GUGCCUAACACAUGCAAGUCGAACGGUAACAGGUCUUCGGAUGCUGACGAGUGGCGCACGGGUGAGUAACGCGUGGAUAUCUGCCUAUUAGUGGGGGACAACUUGUGGAAACGCAAGCUAAUACCGCAUAAUCCCUACGGGGGAAAGCAGGGGACCUUCGGGCCUUGUGCUGAUAGAUGAGUCCGCGUCUGAUUAGCUAGUUGGUAAGGUAAAGGCUUACCAAGGCGAUGAUCAGUAUCUGGUUUGAGAGGAUGAUCAGACACACUGGAACUGAGACACGGUCCAGACUUCUACGGAAGGCAGCAGUGGGGAAUAUUGCACAAUGGGCGCAAGCCUGAUGCAGCGACGCCGCGUGUGGGAAGAAGGCCUUCGGGUUGUAAACCACUUUCAAUUGGGAAGAAGGGAUGAGAGUUAAUAACUUUCUGACUUGACGGUACCUUUAGAAGAAGCACCGGCUAAUUUCGUGCCAGCAGCCGCGGUAAUACGAAAGGUGCAAGCGUUGUUCGGAUUUACUGGGCGUAAAGAGAGUGUAGGUUGUUUAUUAAGUCGGAUGUGAAAUCCCGGGGCUCAACCUCGGAACUGCAUUCGAUACUGAUAGGCUAGAGUUUGGGAGGGGUAAGCGGAAUUCCGUGUGUAGCAGUGAAAUGCGUAGAUAUACGGAGGAACACCUGAGGCGAAGGCGGCUUACUGGACCAAUACUGACACUGAGACUCGAAAGCGUGGGUAGCAAACAGGAUUAGAUACCCUGGUAGUCCACGCCCUAAACGAUGUCAACUAGCCGUUGCGGGUAUCGACCCCUGCAGUGGCGAAGCUAACGCGAUAAGUUGACCGCCU
This 834-nucleotide ribosomal RNA is filed under the name uncultured bacterium. Its description in RNAcentral is "bacterial SSU rRNA". It matches the Rfam family "Bacterial small subunit ribosomal RNA", at positions 44 to 874 of the family's 1533-position model. The record is from RNAcentral.